RNAcentral lists this ribosomal RNA (253 nucleotides) under uncultured bacterium. Its description in RNAcentral is "partial 16S ribosomal RNA". It matches the Rfam family "Bacterial small subunit ribosomal RNA", at positions 524 to 776 of the family's 1533-position model. The record is from RNAcentral.
UACGGAGGGUGCAAGCGUUACCCGGAAUCACUGGGCGUAAAGCGCACGUAGGCGGUUUUUUAAGUCAGAUGUGAAAGCCCCGGGCUCAACCUGGGAAUUGCAUUUGAAACUGGGGAACUAGAGUGUGUGAGAGGGGGGUAGAAUUCCAAGUGUAGCGGUGAAAUGCGUAGAGAUUUGGAGGAAUACCAGUGGCGAAGGCGGCCCCCUGGCACAACACUGACGCUCAGGUGCGAAAGCGUGGGGAGCAAACAGG